UAUAUCGUAUCCGCCAAUGGGCUCAAUGUUUGGCUCAUUCACGGUGCUCCAGUAUUUCACCCUGUCACCAAAGUUCUUGAAGCACACAUCUGCAUACGCCGUGUAGUCAUCUCUGCAACCAUGUGACAAAAAAGGGCAAGAAGAAAUUACAUGAAUUUACGACUAAGCAUCCCAUGGUAUUCAUCUUGAAGAGCCUGAGGGAAGUCGAAAUGAUAUAUCGUCACGUGAGGCUGAAUUCCUACAGGAAACACAGGAAGAUGCACGAUUUAUCUCUGCACAGCUGGACAUUUGGAAAUCUUGUAAUUUCAUUCGUAAAUGAAGGAUUCAGUAUGCCAAGGAUCAAAUACCAUGACUCAGGAGUUCAUUGAUAAGGUUGUUGUAGUACUCCAGUCCCUUUGGAUUGACAGCUCCUCGGCCAUCUUCAUGGAUUGCAAACAGAAGAAUAAGCCGAGGCCAGGCAAUGGAAAAUCUAUACGCGUCCACGCCCAUCUGGCUCAAAAGCUUUACAUCUUCCUGGUUGUUUAUCCGAUCACAUCAGCAGUGGCUCCAUCAGCAGAGUAGCCUGUGGACGUUAAAACUCCAUGUUACAAUUCGCAAUGCGAUAAUGCGUGGUAGAUUCAGGCCCACAGGGCGUGGGGGAGCCUGUGAAUAAACCUGAGUGUGUGAAUGUGUCCCAGAUGCUGGGUUUUCUUCCGUCCUCUGCAACCGCACCUUCAAUCUGGAACCAGCCAAAUAUUCAGAUCGGU
This is a long non-coding RNA of Triticum aestivum (bread wheat), 746 nucleotides long. RefSeq lists it as uncharacterized. The transcript is spliced from 4 exons. Lineage: Eukaryota; Viridiplantae; Streptophyta; Magnoliopsida; Poales; Poaceae. The record is from RefSeq and is a predicted model, not a curated record.